RNAcentral lists this long non-coding RNA (11739 nucleotides) under Homo sapiens (human). RNAcentral describes it as "HSALNT0192881". Lineage: Eukaryota; Metazoa; Chordata; Mammalia; Primates; Hominidae. The record is from RNAcentral.
AAGACUUAGACCCAGAGAGGCAGUAACUGCCAAGAAAAUUCAAGAGUCGUAUAAUUAGAACAAUGGUCCAUAUAAGAAGAUAACCUGGUUUCUCAUGACAAUACAUGCACCCCCUACAGGGGACUCUCUAAGUUCUAGAGGCUGAGAAGAAUUUGAUUCCAUAUUUAGGGCAUCAUAAAUUCAAAGGGGUGAGAAAAAAUAUAAUAUUAGGACAAAACAUGUGCACGGAAGUACACAAGCCAUUUGCUCCGUAGAGAAACAAUAUAGUGAAAUGUCAGUGGACUUGGAAAUCAAAAACAAUAUCACAUAAGAGGAAAGCAACAGAUUCCACUUUCAAAUUCAGCUUUCCAACUUGGAAUUUGAAUUUGAAAGUGGAAUCUGUUGCUUUUCUCUUAUGUAAUCUUGUUUGAGAAACGCAGGUAAUCAGUUUCAAUCUUUUCAAUAAUGUGAAAGUCCUGAUAAUAUCUACUUCAUGGGAGUAAAUGAGAUAAUAUCUAUUAAAUUGCCAUAAAAUACUACAGUUUUACAAGUGUAAGCUAUUGUUAGCACUACCAAACAUAAUAAUUGUUGCUUUUUUGUUGACAGUUUUUUUUAUAAAUCAGGUAUUACAUUAAUGUCUUUACAUACAAGAUAUCAUUUAACCAUAAUUUACAAAUAAAAUCAUUCAAAAGUAUCUGAAAUAAAUGGUCAAGUCACAAAAACAAAUAUGUCUAUCAAAAAUAAUUAUUUCUAAGAAAUGGUUUGCCAAUGUUAUUUAGUAGAGGCUUCCCAAAUUCAGCAGAUGUGAAUUUACCCAUAAAACAGUAAUUGAUCCACAGGAAAUCAUGACUCAAAAUGUGGUAUAUGAAAAGAAAGCAAUCCUUCAUUUACAUAGAAUUGUCAUAUUUCGGGUAACUUAGUGACAUGGACAUUAAGUUUCAUGGAGAUUGGGAAAAAGGUGGGUCGAAAAUGGUGAGUUAGAAAUGAAGAAUAGAGGCCAGGCACGGUGGCUUACACCUGUAAUCCCAGCACUUUGGGAGGCCAAGGUUGGCGGAUCACCUGAGGUCAGGAAUUCGAGACCACCCUGGCCAACAUGGCAAAAAUACGUCUCUACUAAAAAUACAAAAAUUAGCCGGAUGUGGUGGUGUGCUCCUGUUAUCUCAGCUAUUUGGGAGGCUGAGGGAGGAGAAUGGCUUGAACCCAGGAGGCAGAGGUUGCAGUGAACUGAGAUCGUGCCACUGCACUCCAGCCUAGGUGACAGAGAGAGACUCCAUCUCAAAACAAAACAAAAAACAAAUAUAUUAACAGUCUAUUCUAUCAGACCCCUUAAUUUGACUCAACCAAAUCCUCAAGGACAUUUUGCCCUGGAUUAUUGAAAAUAUGGGCAAUUCAAUAAUAAUUUAGAUGUGGGCCUAUAACAUGAUAUGAAAAGAGCAAUUUUAAAAGUUGGUUUUGAGGUCAUACACAGAUGGGUUUGUGGGCAAAGGGUGAGGACAACUUCAUAGAUCAGACGUCAUCUGAGCUGGGUUAUGGAGCUAAAUAGGAAGCAUUCUUGUGAAUAAGUCAAGAAACAACAUUACAGAAGAAUGUUCACAUUGCGGAGGUUUGAAACCACUGGGGAAGAGCUGGGUCUUUUUGCAGCUUAACUACCUCCUAUCCCUCUGUGUCCCUCCACUUCUUCCUCUGUGCCCUCAGGGGAUUGUCUUUACAUAGGCAUUGCACAGCCCUUGCCUUUCCUAAGAUUUAGAAUCAGUCAAUGGGAGGCACUAGGCAUCCAAAGCACACUGGAAAAGAGAAAAUUAAGGCCAGGGAUGCAGUCCUUCGACUUUUUUCCUGUCACAUUACUUCAGGUUGGCUUUGUCACGUGACCAAAACAGCUCUCACUGAGCAGCCUUAAAUCUCUUUAUCCUGGUAAUGGUUCCUUCCUCUUUUCCCUUAGGCUCAGGAGGGUAAUUAAUAGCUCCUCCUUGAUGUUAGCCCCAGGGGACUGCAACUUCACUUUCUGGUUUCCUUUCACCCUGUCCAUAUUUGAACAGAAUAGUCUUUUUGUAAAACUUUCCUUUGUUACUCUCAGUUAAGUAUACCAUUUAUAUUCUGAUGAGACCCCCCAUUGAAAUAUUUACGUAACAUCACAACUAAAGAAAAAUCAAAAAUUCAUUCUGUGUAAUGUCUGGCCAGUCCCCCAAACCCAGGUUUAACUGAUUUGAUUUUUUUUCUAUUCUUUCUUCCCUCCUUUCCCAUUGAGAUGAAUGGACAUUUGAUAUUACCAAGAAUAUGCAUAAUGACUUGGAAGUUACCAUUUGAACAAUUGACAUUCUUGAGCAUCUUAGGUUGGAUUUCCUAGGAACAGAACCUGUGACAGGAAUUCAGGUGGAGCUGUUUUAGGCUGGGUGCUGUGGCCCAGGCCUGGAAUCCCAGCACUUCAGAAGGCCAAGGCAGGAGAAUCGCUUGAGCCCAGGAGUUCAAGAGCAGCCUGGGCAACAUGUUGAAACAUCAUCUCUAUACAAAUAUACGCACAAAAAUUAGCUGGACAUGGUGGUGUGCACCUGUAGUCCUAACUACUCAGGAAGCUGUGGUGGAAGAAUCACUUGAGCCCAGGAGGUCGAGCCUGCAAUAAGCUGUGAUUGCACCACUGCACUCCAGCGUGGAUGACAGAGCAAGACACCCUGUCUCAAAAAAAAGACUAUACAACAGAGCUCUGAAAAAGAUCACACUUUCAGGCUCAAGGAGCUCUCUUGUUCCUUCCACCAUCUGAGAACACAGUGAGAAGUCCCCAGGCUUCAACCUGAAAAAGGGCCCUCAUCAGAACCUGAUCAUCAGAACUUGGCACCCCAAUCUUUGUCUUCUGAUCUACAUUGUGACCUAAGUCAGGUUCCAAAAAGAAAGUCAGAAAGAGAAAUUUGGAGCAGAAUGCACUACACGGCUUUCUCCUGAGUAUGAAGUGUUUGCCUAGCUUCUUCAAAUGGAGCGGAUAUUGAACAAGAAGAAAACACAGAUUACUAUCUCAGCAGGAUGGAUGACUCUAUCAUGAUCCUCAUGAAAUCAGGUCUACGUAGGGUGUCUCGCCAAAUGCCACACCUCUUCCUGGAUUUACACACACACACAGAUUAAGCCUACAAUUACUCAAACUAAAACAUCUUAAAUUUGUGAUUUUGUGACCCUCUUUAUUUAUGGAGGAAAAUGAAAGGAGAGGGUGAGAGGGAGUCUUCUGAGGUGCAAAACAAAAAAGGAAAGACACCAGCAACCUUUCUGACCCACUGCCCUUGAUGUGGAAGGCACUGUCACAGGAAAGGCAGAAUCUUCUUUUUUCUCUCACAUGUCUAUAACCAAAGUGGCAUUUCUAUAUCAUUUUCAAGUUAAACCUCUACUUAGAAAAGCUUAGUGUAUGUUGUUUGGAAUGAACCAAACCCCAAUAAUGUAUACUUAUGCCAGGGUCAAUAACAACUUUAACUUCCAAAAAAGAAAAACAAAAAGAAAAACAAAUAAAAUGGAUCAAAUCUGUAGUUGGAGAUAGAUGUUGGCAUGUUGAGUUUCACUAACCCAGUGUUAGUGGGAAAAGUCUAUUUUUGGCAUAACAUUUUAGUGUCUCCCUUAUCGUGUUGACACAUUUUUAUCAACCCCUUGGACAUCUGCAAGGUACAACAAAAUAAAAUGGCAUUUCUUCAAAUGGAUGUUAUAAUUAAAACUUUAUGUAGUUCUUUAGUGCUACAAUAUUUACAUUGAAACACUAAAUUGAAUGUUUUCAUCUCAUUCAAUGUAUAUUCAUCAGAUACUCCUUCAAAAAUAUGCUAUUCUUUUCAGAAAAAAAUGGUAUUUGUAGUAUCAGAGACUUUUUGUAUAUGUUUAUUAAUUUGGCUGUAUAUUUCUCCUUCAUAAAUGUAAUCCUAUCUAGUCAUGUUUACAGAAGAAAUUAGACAAAAGCUUAGCUAGCUCAGUAACUGAAAAAGAGACACAAGUCUUGUACCAAGUUAUGAUAUCAUCUUUAUCUCAUAUUUAGUUCACAUCUAUGAGAAAUUUAUAGAUCAGUGCUACAUUACUUUAAGAUAAUUAAAAUUGAUAUAAUUACUUUCCUUAAACAGGUAAUACUGUGAUGGAUUAAACAAGACCACUGACUACAAAUAUAUCAGAUAUGUUUGUAUGUGUUUGUAUCUUAGAUUAUAUAUUUAAUUGCAUAAUACAUUUGGCCUAACUGGGUCAAAUUGAAUGAAUUCAGGUGGAAUGUUUUGGUAGAUAGUUUUACAUGAUUAUACAAAAUUAGGAAACAGCUACUUAACAGGAUAAAAUUUUACUAGGAGUUAAGGGAAAAGAAAAAACAGUGAUUUGGGACCCAAUGCAGUAUAUACUAAAAGUAAUUAAAAGAGGUUGUCAGUGGUGAAGGGAAAUCAGUAUUACAAAUCAAACAAGGCAAAAGCAAGAGGAAAACAAUCAAAGACUAGAAUUAUGAGUCUAACUGAAAAGACUAGUUAGGUUGAGUGAAAUCAAGGUGAUAAAAUGACAAUAACACAAAAGACACGUUAAAACAUUUGGGGUUACUCAAUUCCUCAAAUUAAAUGGUUAUGAUGUAUUAUAUUAAGAGACUUAUUAGACAUUAAAACUUAAAAGUGACAUAGAAGCUUUCAGAGGAGAAAAGGGAACACAGUUUGAGGUGCCAGCAUUUUCACAGUAAAUCUUAGGAAGAGGGAAUUUCAGAAUGCAGAUUUCACAACUUUCAAUUAUCUCUUAACAUUGUCUAUAAUGGAAGCACAGGAAAAGUAAAGCAGAACUUUCUUAAAUGUUGAACAGAACUUCUUACUGUGAAUCUAUGAACCAUUGUUUGUAGAACUUGACUACGUUUCAAUUAUAAUAACAGGUACAUUUCCCAAAAGAGAAUUACUACUUAACUCUGACUAAGGGGUUCCAGGGCCAAUUUAUAAUCACUUUAGGCCAACCAAUUUCCCCUUUGUCCAUCUGGGCAAAGCUAUGGUCACAGCUUUGCAGACAGCAGGUGCCCAUGUGGUAUGGCUGGGAGCCUUUCCUGGCUCCUGUGUCACUGCUCCUCUUCAGAGGAAUUUGGAUGAAGACACAAAAGUAUAAUCUUUCAAGUUUCAUGCUUUUCCCCUCAAAGGCAAGAAACCAGGAAAGAAUUACUGAAUCAUGUAUUCAGCAAGUUGUUGACUCCCUUGCUUAGUCUUAUGUUUAUGGUAGCUUCCAUUACAUUUUAACUCUAUUUUUAAGCUAACCUUUUAACUUUAUCUAACUGUCUCAUUCUUCAUCUUCAUUACUUCAAGGAUCAAGUUGACCAUUGAAGUCGGCCAUUCUGAUCAAAUCUCAGACCAAUUUAAAAUUCUCCAAAGAUUCCCCACUAGAUGUAUCCUGAACUUCAGAUUCCCUAUGAUAUCACAUGAGGCCUCCCUGACCUGGCCCCCAUGUUCUUCUGUAGUCUAGUCUCUAACCACAAUCUCUUUAACCUAUGAUUAAAUUUUUCCAGUAUAUAGAAAUAGUAUAACUGCUGAAUAUCUUAAUGGAUAAAUGGACACUAGACUGGCUCCAUUACCAUUGUUCAAGCACCUUUAUGAACUACAUGUCUGCUAAUAAACUUUUCAUUCCUUUCUCUCCAUCUAGCAAAAUUCUGUUCAGCCCAGAGUUUAUCAUAGUAUCUGAUGAAUACUAGCUACUUAACAUGUGUUGAAUGAAUAAGUUAAAACUUCUCCCAAGUCAAAUUCUACUUUCUUCAUAUGGUAUGUCCUCAUCUCCAUCUAGAAGUAAUUUCUCCCUAUGUUGAGUCCCCCAAGUAUUUAUUUUUAAGAAGAUUUGUAUGGCCACAUUGUGUAUAUUCUCUAUAUUUAUUAGGAAAUAUUUAAACAUUUUAUUUUUUAAAUAAAGACUAUAUCUUGUUUCCUCAGACUAUAAGUUUUAAAAUUCUUCAUAAUUUUAAUUAUAUUUUUCUUUGCCUCUUUCACAGAUUAUCAGUGUUCAAUAAUUGUGAUUUGAAUGGCAUUAUGCAGAAGAAAAAUACAUUCUAUCUGUCUCAAGUUAAUGGUGACAAUGAGGAUAUAAGAGGUUGAACCAAACAUGCCUUCAUUAAGCUACAGAACAAUUAUUAAGGACAAGAUGAAUAAAUAUCAGAUAAUAUGUUGAAAUCUGUACAUAUAAAGUGCUGUGGGCAUGCAAAACAUUGAAUUUAUUAGAGAAGUGAGGAAGAUUUAGGAUUUUCUAUGAGGUAUGGGUUUAAACAUUCUCUUGAAUCAGGAUUACUGGAAAAUCAUGAAGAGGGAAUUCCAUGAGGGUUUAUAGCACGAAUGUAAGAAUUACCAAAAGAGUUAUAAGGAAGAACAAGCAAAGUCAUUUGGCCUGAUGAGAGAAGUCAUGUUGAAAGUUAAGAAAAUAUGGGGUCAGCAAGAUAGAAAUGAGCGUUCAAUAGAACAUUUUUUUAAAAAGUUCUAGGAGCUAAGAGAGAGAGAGUUCUGCUUAUUUUCUAAUAGUGAAUUCUAUUCCAGUGACUAAAGUGUGACUGAGGUUUCAGAAGGAACUGGAACCUUCUUCAAGGCUUUUAUAAUCUUAACUGAUACAUCAGGAGUUAAGCGAUUGCAAAACUAGGGUCUGAAACUGAGGUUUCAGAAGGCUCUGGAAUCUUCUUCAAGGCUGUUAUAAUCUUAAUUGCUACAUCAGGAGUUAAGUGAUUGCAAAACUAAGGUCUUGGGUGUGGCAUGGCUAAUGUGACUUGGGGAGGUGGAAUGAAAAACCAUGCAAGCAAAUAAACUUAAUACUUUUAAAUAUUGCCCUUAAUCUUUUGCAAGCAGUUCCACAGUCAGGAGUCUGAAGCUGUCUUAUAGUUAUUGGAAGAAAACAGAGAAGAGUUUUUCACUCCUCUUAGAUAGAUUAUUAUAAACUUGCUUUAGUAAAUGAAUAUGCCCUAGUGAUAUUCCUAUUUUCGCUGAAUCUUUUGAGAUAUAUCAAAAAUAUAUAUAAGCAAUGUCCCUCCAAAAGAGAAAAAAUGUAUUCCAUUGGAUAUUGAUAAGAACCCAGCAAGGAAAAGAUAUUGCACCAAAAAAAAAAAAGAUUGAUUUGCCUAAUUUCAGUAUUACUUUUAACAGCAAUGAGAGAUUAAUGACUUAUAUUUAAAGCACGAUAUAAUUUUCUUGCAAUGAAUAUGGUACAUUAAGAUGUUAGCCUCUCAUUCUGCUUGUGAAAGAAAAGUCAGAUCUUUGCCAAAUAGCUUUGGUUUGGGGGACACCUAUCCCAGUCCACAUCUACUUGAGUAGCUAUUUAUAUGAGAUGGAAAAUGAAAACUUAACCUCAUUUAGUGACUAUGUGCACAGUCUGUGAGUAUUCAGUAAAAGUUAAAAACCAUCAGAACUGAAAAAAAAUUAGGCUGACAACAUUGAACAAAUGUGUGUAUUUAGUAAUUUAAAGAGCCCACCAAAAACAACCACUUGCUGUCUGUAAAAGUCAAUCAAGUCUUUGUAGUAUGUAAGAAGGGGAAAGAUCCUGUCAACUAUUCUGUGGCAAUGUCCUGGAACAGACUGACUUCUUGAAUUAAGCUCAAAAACAGCGGUCAGGAAUUUUGUUCUGUAUCCCAGAUGUGACCAGAUGUGAAGAAGUCCCUAGCUGAAAAAAAUGUAUAAACAAAACACAAAAUAAAAAAAAAAAAAGAAAAAGAAAGAAAGACCUGAACUAUUUAGAAAAUAUACUUGAUUAUUCUAAGUAAAUGUGUUUUACCCCCAAAACAGGAGCUAAAGAAAGCCCAUGGCGUAUUCAUUCCACAGGACUUUGCUUGCUGAGCCAGGGAAAAUGAACUGUCAAACUUAAAGUAACGGCCAUGUAGAAAGGACAGCCACAAAUGUACAGAAAGUUUCCCUUUCACAGACAAUUUUUAAAUAUAGAAUCUCAGUUAUCCAUGCAAUUGAUAUUAUCUCUCCAGCACAUUCUCUGUCAUUCAUUUGAUUUUUCAAUGUGCCUUAUUUUUAAUAUAAAAUAGCACAUUAUAGAUAAAGAUGCCAUAUUCUUUGAAUCUUUCUAGCACCUUUCCAGUUCUAUCUAUUGCCUCCUCCUUCCCUGAGCGUACAUUCAUUAUCAUGAAUUUAAUACCUCUUUCCUGUCCCAUUAAAAUAUUUUUGCAUACAUACAUAUAUGUUCAUGAAUGUUGCACUGUUCAUAGCAUCAUAAUACAUGUUUUCUGCCACUUUAUUUUUACUCAAAUUAUAUUUUUAAAAUCUAGGGUUUGUCUUUUAACAGCUGGGCUUCAUUCGACCAAAUAAAUAUAGUAUAUAUUAUUAAUCCAUUUCCCUCUGAGAGAAUUUGGGUUAUUUUCAUUUUUUUCCAUGUUGCAAAUAGCAUGUCAGACAUCUCAGCACGUAUCCUAUGCAAACGUGCAAGUGAAGCAUUGGUUAUGUUUCAAGCACUUUGCUGCAUAAUCUGGCUUAAUCCUCACACAAAGUCUAGGAUCAAUGUUGCUUUAUUGAUAUCUUGAAAAUUAAUAUAUCAAAAAGGUUAAGAAACAUUAUCAAGUUCACUCAACUGAUACAAAGGGAGUUGAGAUUGCAUUUUCACCUACUGCUAAUUGAAAUCUUGUUUAUUUAUUUGCUCACAUGCUUAUUUUUCUGCCACACCCACCAGAAUAUAAAUUCCAUGAAGACAAAUGUCUUUGAUUUCUGCCUUAUCUCCAUUGUAUUAUCUGCACCUGGCAUAGAAGAGGGACUGGAUAAGCACUUGUUAGAUGAAUAAAAUGAAUAAAAGAAUGGAUGAAUAAACACAAUUAUUUCCCAAAUGUUAAGAGAACCCAGAAGAGUAAAAGAACUGUAACCUGUUUUGGAGUCCCUGCAAAAAUUAGUUUCAAUUCUAGGCAGUUCCAUGUUCUAAAGAACCCAGAAGUGCUGUCCCGGGUUUGGCUUCUCAUGAAAUAUCUGUGUUUGCGACUGAGAAUUUGGGGAUGUGUAUACUUGGCAGGCAACCUUUGGAUCAUUUCAGAUGACAUACAGAGGGUUUGUGGUUCUGAAGAAUAAUUCUGGAAAGUCAAAGUCAGUAAUGUUCAGUGGCUUUGUAUAUUUUUGCUCAUUUUGUAAACUCUGGGGAAAAAAUAAGUCUGCAAAGUUACAGCCACAGGUUUCAUGACACAUCGUGUUCUUAAAAGUGAGUAAUUAGAAUAAUAUGAAUUGCUGGUGACUUAUACCACAAGAAUAGUCCUUUUUCUGGGAAAAAGACAUGUCGGUAAUACACUUUCUUUAAAAUCGUUGGCAAAACUUUUUCCAUUCCUUUGUUCUCUACCAUAGACAUCAGAUGGUACAUGAGGAAAACUCUGUUACUGUUAUCAGUGUUCAGGACUAUUAUCAGCAUGGGAUUUGUGUGAGUCAGAUGUUUACUUCUACAGUAUUGUUAUACUGAAACAAAUUGAGUAACCCUAAUUCAUGGAGAAUAAUUAGUUCUGUUUAUUAAAGUUUUUAGUUGGUUAAAAUAUACAAAAGCUUCUUUUUUUAAAAUCUUUUUUCUAGUAACUUCCUAAAAUGCAUUAAUAUUCUUUGUGGCCUUAGCGUAAUUUAGGGUCCCUAAAAGCCCGAGCUUUCUUUAGAGAUGUAGAACCUUAGAACCAUUCAACUUGCCAUCAGUUCUUGUAAGUUUUUGUAUGAGAUUGUACCAAAUCUGUAGACAUCACAAGUCAUAUCUUCUAAUUUACUUUUCAACGAAUAUGUCUUUUCUAUUGAUCUGUUUGGAUUCAUUCUAUUCUUGCCCAGAUAGGGUCCCAAUUAGGUAACUCUGUUGGAUUGUUCUUUUAGCAGCUUAAGCAUAAAAUAAACCAAUAUGGGAUAUUAAAAAAUCACAUAUGUCCAUAUAUUAAACUUUAUAUAAAUAAUACUAUUAACAGUAUUGAAAUUCCACCAACAUGAAAAACAAAAAUAACUUUCUUUAAAAGUUGAAAUGGUGACUUUAUAGCAUACAGUUUCUUAGAAUAGCUUCUACUUUCUUAAUCCUGGAAUGAUUAUGGGGGUUUUUAAUUGGUAAAUAUUUGUAACCUGUACUUAUUUUUUUCAAAAAUAUGUUAUGUUCUGUUACCUCUAUGUUAUAAAUUAUAAUGGCAUACUAAAUUAGAAAUGAGCUCUUUGUGCUUAUGUCUUAAUUUUUUGUAUGGAAUUUUUUAUUUGGAAAAUUUCAAAAACAAAAGUUGAGAAUAGCAUAAUGAACCCAUGAAACUGUGACCCAGGAGCAGCACACAGCCAAUCUUGUUUCAUCUCUAUCUGUCCACUUAUUUAAUUUUAUGCAUUUCUAGUAUAAAUGUUAAAUGGUAGAAACACCACUGAACAGAAGGCAGAAGGUCUGAGUCUGAGUCUUCGCUCUACCCUGUAGAAGGCAUUUAAUUUAGUCAUAACUCAGUUACAUCCCCUACAACAUGGGACACGUGUGACCAAAUACCUUUAAUCUCUCUUUGUCAUCUUGUUUUACACACUAAGUUGUAGUAGUAUAUUUUCGGUCAGUGUAGUCCAGUGAAUGCACUCUGCAUCUUCAGUGACCUUUCUCUUGGUGCAGGUAUAAUCUAUCUGCACCACAAAGGCAAAAUUAUAACCAACUUAAAAAUAAAAUAGAACUUGCAAUGGAAUAGUUCUACUAGCCGCAGUUAUGCAACCAUUAUAAUGAUGUCAACAUUUAAAAAAUGCUGAUGCACAAUAAGAGGUACAGGCUAGAUUUAAAUUGAUUAUAUAUUUUAUAUAAAUAUAAAAUCAAUGAAAAAACUUCCAAUAUUAUACAUGUGCUGUAAAAAGAAAACAUUCUGAAAUAGGCUGAUGGCAUUUCAAAAGCAGUCUAAAAUUAUUUUUAAAAAUUGUUUUAUCUUGGUGGUAAAACAAAAUAUUAUGAAAUUCAUUUUAAUAUGAUGAAGUUUCAAUAAAUCUAACAAUUAAAAUUGAUUACACAUGUAGAAUCCAUGCAAAAAAAUAAGUCAGUGAAAUAGAAUCACCUUCAUGUCAUGGGUUGUCAUUGUUUGCUUGUUAUUAACCCUGUAAUGCCACACACCUACUCUGCCUUGUCCAUUGCUGUAUUCCCAGCACCUAGCAGAGUAUAUAGUACACACACACAAAUUUAUGAAUUAAUGAAUUUCAGAUCAGUGUAUGCUAUGAAAAAAACAUAAAUACAACAAAUUUGAAUCAUGUCUAUCUAGUUAUUUGGUUUAGACAUAUUGAUAUGAUUUUUCACAUAUGUUCUAAUACAUUUUUGAUGCUGAUUAUAUUACACCUAUCUCUAUCUUUCCAUUUAGAUAUGGAUAAAGUCUUACAUGCAUUUAGCAAUAAAUUUCAUAAGGUUAAGUUGAUUGAAAAUAAUCGGAAUUUGUAAAGAAGAACAAAUAUGUCUGUGGACAAAAUCUGUAAGCAAAAAAUAUACAAAAAGAUCCCAAUGCACUGAGAUAGGAUGUGUUAUGAGGUGAAACUGAUCAAGGAUAACUAUGACACCUUUGCUCAUGUAUAGUCAACUGAAUUCACUGUCACAAAAUAAGGGGUCAUAUCUUAGCCCCUUUUUUGGUUAUCAGAACAUUCAAUAUCAGAUGAUUUCAUGACCAAAAGGAUAUCAUAUCCAUCUUCAUUAAGGACAGUACCACAGGUAAACCUAGGGCGGCACAGUCCAACUCUGUACUGGUUGGUAAAUUCUUGGACUAUUUCUUUCAGUUCUGAGUACCUUCAUUUAGAAGGAUUUAGAUGGAUUAAAAUAUAUUUACAAAAGAAUAACACAACAUCGCUUAUGAGAAAUGUUUAAAGAAAGAGAAAUAUUUAACCUAGAGAUGUGGAAUUUUGUUAAAAG